Molecule: long non-coding RNA, 704 nt
Filed under: Homo sapiens (human)
Lineage: Eukaryota; Metazoa; Chordata; Mammalia; Primates; Hominidae
Description: HSALNT0338646
Source: RNAcentral
UUUCCCCCUUUGCUUGGCACUUCUCUCUUCUGCUGCCAUGUGAAGAAGGAUGUGUUUGCUUCCCCUUCUGCUAUGAUUGUACGUCUCCUGAGGCCUCCGCAGUCAUGCAGAACUCAGCAGCCAACGGACCAAGGCACUUAGCUCAUAAGAGAUGAGUAUGACCCUGUCCGAAUCACCUGGGGACGUCCCAUGAAGCUGUUAGGAGAGAGAAGUAUUUGCUUUUUGCCCCUGGACUUGAAUCUGGGAGGAUCCAGGGUGUAGCUGCCAAUAGGCAAAGUGCAACACAAGGGGUCAGCACUGACUGAACCAGAGGCAAAGCCUGGAGACACUGGAUCCUAGUGAGUCAGGGGACUGUAUCCACCUGCAGCUACCAACGUGCCACGUGGGCUUGUAGAUGGGCAGCAGCCAAUGAAGUUAUUCCGUUCUUCCCUACACCAAUUUUGAGGUGCUUUUUGCUGUUGUUGUUGUCUUCCCCAGUUGCUUGCAGCUAUUAGGGCCCAAAAUGAUCUAGGUGUUAUCAAAAAUCCUAGCUUGUAUAUGAAAGUGUCAACACGUGUUUUCUGGUGUGUAUCUGUCUGGGUGUGCGUUCCCAUAAGACAGUGAGUGUACUUUGUUCUGAUCAUAUUUGCAUCUUUGCUGUUCCAGAGAUAGUACCUAAUAAAUGGCUAAUGAGGAAGUGAAUUACUGAAAUGUCUUUAAUGUAG